CACGUAGGCGGCUAGGUAAGUCUGAUGUGAAAGCCCUGGACUCAAUCCAGGAAGUGCAUUGGAUACUGCUUAGCUAGAAUGCAGGAGGGGUAAGCGGAAUUCCAGGUGUAGAGGUGAAAUUCGUAGAUAUCUGGAGGAACAACGGUGGCGAAGGCGGCUUACUGGACUGAUAUUGACGCUGAGGUGCGAAAGUGGUGGGGAGCAAACG
Molecule: ribosomal RNA, 208 nt
Filed under: uncultured bacterium
Lineage: Bacteria
Description: partial 16S ribosomal RNA
Rfam family: Bacterial small subunit ribosomal RNA
Source: RNAcentral